UCCAGAAGGGCCUCCGGGGCAGAGAAAGGCGAAUCGGAUCCGCACCUCUUUGGCCGAUCGCUUGUAAAACUGCAAAGAAAGCAGGCCCCGCGAUUCUGCAGAUGGUAAAGACAAAGCGGAUCCCCGCUGUCAGCCAGAUGUUCAGACCGGGUUUGGCAUUGUUGUCUACCUAUUGAGUCCUUACCAAGGACUGGAUAUUUGACGAUGUUAGUUAUCGUUGCAGGAUGGAAGCAGUUCCAAGUAAAGCCGCCUUCUGCAAUUGACUGAUGGCAAAUUUGUCAAUGCCUAUGGUGUUCAAGUGGUGCUCCAGUUAUUUUGGGAUUCCACCCAAGGCGCCUAUUGCUAUUGGUACUAUCCUUGCAUGCUUUUGCCAUAGUCGUUCUAUUUCUGUUUGUAGGUCUUUGUAUUUUGUUCUUUCUCUUCUAUUCUGCUGUCUCCAGCCACUGCCUCAUCCACUAUCCAGACUUUUUUGUCUUUCUUAUCGAUAACUGUUAAGUCCAGGGUGUUAUGUGGCAGGUGCCUGCCUGUCUGAAUUCUGAAGUCCAAGAACAAUUUAACUUCUUCAUUUCCUGUGACUUCUGUUUUAUGGUCCCACCAGUUUUUGCUUACAGGCAAAUAAUAUUUCCUGCAGAUCUUCCAAUGCACCAUUGUUGCUACUUUGUCGUGCCACUGUUUGUAUUGUUGUUGUUGUUUAUUGUUAUUAUUAUUAAAAAAGGCAUGCAUGGCCCUGUCUGUGGUAUGCUUAAUAUGAA
Long non-coding RNA from Ahaetulla prasina, 752 nucleotides. RefSeq lists it as uncharacterized. The record is from RefSeq and is a predicted model, not a curated record. NCBI's taxonomy places the organism in Eukaryota, Metazoa, Chordata, Lepidosauria, Squamata, Colubridae. The transcript is spliced from 2 exons.